UGACCGGCCACACUGGGACUGAGACACGGCCCAGACUCCUACGGGAGGCAGCAGUGGGGAAUAUUGCACAAUGGGCGCAAGCCUGAUGCAGCAACGCCGCGUGAGGGACGACGGCCUUCGGGUUGUAAACCUCUUUUAGCAGGGAAGAAGCGAAAGUGACGGUACCUGCAGAAAAAGCGCCGGCUAACUACGUGCCAGCAGCCGCGGUAAUACGUAGGGCGCAAGCGUUAUCCGGAAUUAUUGGGCGUAAAGAGCUCGUAGGCGGUUUGUCGCGUCUGCUGUGAAAUCCCGAGGCUCAACCUCGGGCCUGCAGUGGGUACGGGCAGACUAGAGUGCGGUAGGGGAGAUUGGAAUUCCUGGUGUAGCGGUGGAAUGCGCAGAUAUCAGGAGGAACACCGAUGGCGAAGGCAGAUCUCUGGGCCGUAACUGACGCUGAGGAGCGAAAGGGUGGGGAGCAAACAGGCUUAGAUACCCUGGUAGUCCACCCCGUAAACGUUGGGAACUAGUUGUGGGGUCCAUUCCACGGAUUCCGUGACGCAGCUAACGCAUUAAGUUCCCCGCCUGGGGAGUACGGCCGCAAGGCUAAAACUCAAAGGAAUUGACGGGGACCCGCACAAGCGGCGGAGCAUGCGGAUUAAUUCGAUGCAACGCGAAGAACCUUACCAAGGCUUGACAUAUACGAGAACGGGCCAGAAAUGGUCAACUCUUUGGACACUCGUAAACAGGUGGUGCAUGGUUGUCGUCAGCUCGUGUCGUGAGAUGUUGGGUUAAGUCCCGCAACGAGCGCAACCCUCGUUCUAUGUUGCCAGCACGUAAUGGUGGGAACUCAUGGGAUACUGCCGGGGUCAACUCGGAGGAAGGUGGGGAUGACGUCAAAUCAUCAUGCCCCUUAUGUCUUGGGCUUCACGCAUGCUACAAUGGCCGGUACAAAGGGCUGCAAUACCGCGAGGUGGAGCGAAUCCCAAAAAGCCGGUCCCAGUUCGGAUUGAGGUCUGCAACUCGACCUCAUGAAGUCGGAGUCGCUAGUAAUCGCAGAUCAGCAACG
This 1045-nucleotide ribosomal RNA is filed under the name Microbacterium sp. BE072. Its description in RNAcentral is "bacterial SSU rRNA". It matches the Rfam family "Bacterial small subunit ribosomal RNA", at positions 301 to 1356 of the family's 1533-position model. Lineage: Bacteria; Bacillati; Actinomycetota; Actinomycetes; Micrococcales; Microbacteriaceae. The record is from RNAcentral.